Molecule: ribosomal RNA, 492 nt
Filed under: uncultured bacterium
Lineage: Bacteria
Description: partial 16S ribosomal RNA
Rfam family: Bacterial small subunit ribosomal RNA
Source: RNAcentral
AGUGAACGCUGGCGGUAGGCCUAACACAUGCAAGUCGAACGGCAGCACAGUAAGAGCUUGCUCUUACGGGUGGCGAGUGGCGGACGGGUGAGGAAUACAUCGGAAUCUACUUUUUUGUGGGGGAUAACGUAGGGAAACUUACGCUAAUACCGCAUACGACCUACGGGUGAAAGCAGGGGAUCUUCGGACCUUGCGCGAUUGAAUGAGCCGAUGUCGGAUUAGCUAGUUGGCGGGGUAAAGGCCCACCAAGGCGACGAUCCGUAGCUGGCCUGAGAGGAUGAUCAGCCACACUGGAACUGAGACACGGUCCAGACUCCUACGGGAGGCAGCAGUGGGGAAUAUUGGACAAUGGGCGCAAGCCUGAUCCAGCCAUACCGCGUGGGUGAAGAAGGCCUUCGGGUUGUAAAGCCCUUUUGUUGGGAAAGAAAAGCAGCAGGUUAAUACCCCGCUGUUCUGACGGUACCCAAAGAAUAAGCACCGGCUAACUUCGUG